UACGGAGGAUGCAAGCGUUAUCCGGAAUGAUUGGGCGUAAAGAGUCCGUAGGUGGUAUUACAAGUCUGUGGUUAAAGCGCGAAGCUCAACUUCGUAAGGGCCAUGGAAACUGUGAAACUAGAGUGAGAUAGGGGUAGAGGGAAUUCUUGGUGUAGCGGUGAAAUGCGUAGAUAUCAAGAAGAACACCGGUGGCGAAAGCGCUCUACUGGAUCUUAACUGACACUGAGGGACGAAAGCUAGGGGAGCGAAAGGG
This 253-nucleotide ribosomal RNA is filed under the name uncultured bacterium. RNAcentral's name for it is "partial 16S ribosomal RNA". It matches the Rfam family "Bacterial small subunit ribosomal RNA", at positions 524 to 776 of the family's 1533-position model. The record is from RNAcentral.